CUUCAGCCGAAGUUUCUAUUUCCCUCAAGCUUCAGUGAAGAAUGGUUUAUCAACUGAAGAAAUUGGCUUUUCUUUCAAGAAGAACUGAAGAACAUGAUUUUCAAACUGAGCUGAAGCUAAGUCGUCUCUCUCUUCUUAGCUGAAGUUGGCGAUACCUACGAUUCUCUUCUCCCUAAUACAAAUUCCAUCAAGCAAGAGGAGAAAAAGAAGGAAUUAAUUGCUUUGGAGUUGUGGGAAUGGAGCAAAUCAAGAGUUACAGCUGAAAUUCCAAAGUACAGGAAGCAAGUGCCUAAAAUAUUGAACCCUAGGCAUAUUCAACAGCCAAGAUAGAGGGAAUUACUACUCGGAAGCAUUUGAGUGAGUUCGUUAACAUCUUGUUUUAACUUUUGAUAUAAACUCUUAUAAACUAAUUCCAAGAACAAUAUAAAAUUGUAGUAUCAACUAUGAAACACUUGAACUUCUCUGUUAUGCUCUCAAAUAUGUCUCAUAGUCUUAUUAUACUCAUGUUCGAGCUUGUAUGCUCUUUCAGAUGUUUAAACAUCGUCGUUUAAUGGAAAAUUGUAUGAAUGUAUUGCCAGAAUUAUGAUUAUUGUGUCCCUUUCUCCACAUCUUUGGUCACCCCAACAAAUUAUUCGUUCAACACAAUCCUACAAUCCACUGGACAACAUCUCAAAUGUUUAAUUCCUUCUGUUAUUAAAUCUCAUCUUAUUUUCUCAGUAUUGGCAAAAUCACAUGUUCAAGAUAUUAUCAUGAUGGUUGCUUCUGAAGUCAUUUUCUAUGUAUAUUUUGGUGUCAUUUUUUAUAUUGUUGUUAUACAGUACAAACAACUUGAGUACAGAUGAAAUAAAGGGGGGACAAUUGGAUUUAUAUGAGUUGAAUAGUUUAAAUUUAUUUUUUAGGUUGAAUUUUUUUCCUCUUUUUCUAUUUUUGGCUUGUUGCCGCUCUUUUAUUGUAUAUUUGGUUGGUGAUAGUUGAGGUAUAUUGUUUGUUAGUUAAGGCUUUUCUCUCUCUCUGACUCUCUUUUGGAACCUCUCAACUAUAAUUUCCUCAACUUUGUCUAGUUGUUGUUCAUUCAAAUCAUCUUUUAUUUUGUUUGUUGAUGUAUUUCCUUUAUUGGUUCUUCUUGGUUGUUGGUUUGAUCCUGUACAACAAGAUCAUUAUAGUAAUUAUGAGUAGAAAAUAAUAGCGUUCAGUAUCUUACCUGACUGUUUCUUCCCAAAGUAUGUAUGUUUUGCCUGUAGUUCUCCUUCUUUCAAACUUGCCAGUGCUCAUCUCAUAUCUCAUUUACCUUCUCCAGCCGACAGUACUUGCUUGGUAGUGAUAACAGGAGUCGCAAGGUUAAUAGGGAUAUCAUUUUUAGCCUCAUUUUGGUCUUAGUCGAGCAGCAAAUGAUUGGAUAAUACUUUAGGGAGAUAAUUUUGGGACUAUGUGCUUAUUAGCCUUGUGAGUUGAAACCUGAUUCAUCAUGUUUCUAUCUUUAUGUAAUUUUGGAGUAGUUUGAUCAAUGUGUGUCAUCUUCCCCUUUUUCCACCUUGAGAAUUGAAAUUCACUGACUCGCAACUUGGUGUGAGCUUGUAAUCCCGAGAACAGAUGGAUGGAUCAGAUAUCAGUUUAGUUGAAAGACUUUGGUACAAUUAUCAAAUGACAAUUUCGGACAUGUUAUAUAAAUAGGAACACAACUAGUUUUAUUUUGUUAGUUGUCAUUAUAUGUCUUAUAAGUUUCCCUUUCUGAUAUUGGCUUGCAAAAGAUUUUAAAUCUGAGUAGAUGAAACAUCAUUUUAGUUGAUGAAGUUUUGUACAACUAUACAAUUAAAACUAAAGGCAUGUUCCGUAGAAAAGUGAUUACUUUAGUCCUAACAAUCUUAUUUUGUCUUCUUAUAAAGAAAGAAACUUCCUCAUUCUGUUUAUCCUUAUCAGAUCAAUUUAUAUGCCUAGGUAUAUUCCUGUUUUUAUGUUCCAAGCAUAUCCUAUGUGCUCUCGAUUAAUACAUAUACUUCACUGAAUCUGCAAUCUUCUAGAAUAUACAGUAAAAGGCAUGUUUUCCACAAAUUUAUGUAAUAAUAGCAUGCUGCACUUUGUAUUUUUCCUUUAAAAAGAAAUUAGAUGUCCUGCUGCCUCUAUAAAGCUAUUAUUGCUGCAAAGUAGAUAAGACUGAAACAAAAAGCAUUUAAGGUACCAGAGAAACUGGAAGAGGUAAUGUCAGUUACAAAGAGAAAGCAACACAUGAGUCCAUGUAAUGUAUAUUUGGUCCAUCAAGAUGUCUGCAUUUUUUCCCAUCACCCUUGAGUAGGUUUCAGCAUGUAAGAGUUCCAACUUGAGACAUCGUGAUUGUAUAUUUGGUUGGUGAUAGUGGAGGUUGUUUCAUUUGGAGUUCCUUUGAAGGUAUUGUGUGUUUUACUUAAUUUGGUUUCUAAUUUGGAUGUGGAUUGCAAUUUGCAAAUCCAUCAUGUAACUAUAUUUUUUCUUUAGUUUUAUACUUUUGCAUAUGCACAUUUUGAACAAUUUUUUUUCUAAACCAAGAAAUCUUCUCAGCUAUUUCAAGUUUUGCUGAAUGGAAAUUAAUAUUAUGCAGACACCAAAAUCAAGGUACUUCUAAUCUCUUAACAAUAAAAUGACUAUAUUUCAUCCUUGAAAUAAUGAUAUACAAUGACAUACAGUUUUGCAGUUAUUAUUAGGUAUAUAUUAGAAACAAGAAUGGUAACAAGAUACUCGAAACUCACUAUGAUUCUUAUAAUCUCAUAACAUAUGAUUCUGGUUCUGAUGAUUCGAGGGCUCAAGGUGGCAGCUUAAGGUAGGUUCUUGAUUCUCUUGAGCUUCCUCACCCUGAAGUUUGUCAUCUCCAUUUUUUCUAAGAAACAGCUACCCUUAGCAGUAGAGUGUAUUGUUUUUCUGUGUAGUAUGGAUAUAUAAUGUCUAGUAUGUGACUCCAUUUGGAGAGUUAGCCACCUGUUAAGUUUUCUUCCCUAUAAAUAUGUUUGCACUGAAAGAAUUAAACACACAAAUGAGUUGCUGGAGCUUUUGUACUAGAUGUUGUAUUUUCCAAGGAGAUUUACUAGCUUGGUUGAGCCAUCUAGUGAGAACUUAGAAUGUACUUCUAAGUUGAUCCUCAUAUAACCAUGCUCAGAGCACCAAUGAAGUUCUUUGAAAAUUAAGAACUUCACCCUCACUAUUGUGAUUCAUAGUCCACCAGUUCAUCAACUGAUUAUUCAGAGCAACGUGUCUGUGAACUUUUUAAGAAGGCAGCAAAGAAGCUCCAAAUGUGAACUUUCAAGGGAUUGUGUUUUACUUAAUUGUUUUCUACUUUGGGUUUCUAAUUUUGAUGUGGAUUUGCAAAUCCAUUAUGUAACUAUAUUUUUUUUCUAUAGUUUUAUUCUUUUGCAUAUUUGUGAAGUAGUUAAUGAUUUAAUGAUUGUUACUGUAAGAUUAAAUAAUUAUUUCUUCUUCUAGGAAUUCUAAUAUCUAAUCCAAGGAUUGAAUGGAUUUAGCAAGGUAUUGCAAAGAGUAUAUUGUUGGCGUUGAAUCAUUCCUUGAUUUUGCUUACUCCUAUGAAAAUCCUCAAGGAGACGACAUUCAUUGUGUGUGCAAAAUGUUGUAAUAUUCGUUGACUCGAAGGAAUGUACUGUAUGAUCAUCUAAUAUGCUAUGGAUUUGUUAAAGGUUGCUAGAUGGAUCAAUCACGGGGAUGGGGUAUCAAGUAGAAUAUUGGCGAUGAUAUGGAUUACGCGCGUGAUGAUCUUGAUGGGUUGUUGAAUGAUCAAUUUAGAGAUGUUGCACAGGCUGAAGGAGCUUAUGAUGGUCGAAAUGAAGAUGCCAAGAAAUUCUAUAACUUAGUUGAAGAGGCAAGCCAAGAACUAUAUCUUGGUUAUACAUGAUUCUCUAAAUUAUCAUUCACACUUCGAUUAUAUUUGUUGAAUUGUCUACAUGGAUGGAGCAAUGAAUCAUUCACUUCUCUUUUAGAGUUAUUAAAAGAGGUGAUGCUCGAGUUGAACAUUCCUCCGUCUUACAAUAAAACCAAGUCUAUG
This is a long non-coding RNA of Solanum pennellii, 4021 nucleotides long. RefSeq lists it as uncharacterized. The transcript is spliced from 3 exons. The record is from RefSeq and is a predicted model, not a curated record. Lineage: Eukaryota; Viridiplantae; Streptophyta; Magnoliopsida; Solanales; Solanaceae.